UGAGGAAUAUUGGUCAAUGGGCGAGAGCCUGAACCAGCCAAGUAGCGUGCAGGAAGACGGCCCUAUGGGUUGUAAACUGCUUUUAUGUGGGGAUAAAGUGCGUGACGUGUCAUGCAUUGCAGGUACCACAUGAAUAAGGACCGGCUAAUUCCGUGCCAGCAGCCGCGGUAAUACGGAAGGUCCGGGCGUUAUCCGGAUUUAUUGGGUUUAAAGGGAGCGUAGGCUGUCUAUUAAGCGUGUUGUGAAAUAUACCGGCUCAACCGGUGGCUUGCAGCGCGAACUGGUCGACUUGAGUAUGCAGGAAGUAGGCGGAAUUCAUGGUGUAGCGGUGAAAUGCUUAGAUAUCAUGACGAACUCCGAUUGCGCAGGCAGCUUACUGUAGCAUAACUGACGCUGAGGCUCGAAAGUGCGGGUAUCAAACAGG
RNAcentral lists this ribosomal RNA (424 nucleotides) under Verrucomicrobiota bacterium. RNAcentral's name for it is "Verrucomicrobia bacterium partial 16S ribosomal RNA". It matches the Rfam family "Bacterial small subunit ribosomal RNA", at positions 355 to 776 of the family's 1533-position model. Lineage: Bacteria; Pseudomonadati; Verrucomicrobiota. The record is from RNAcentral.